Transfer RNA from Cavia porcellus (domestic guinea pig), 73 nucleotides. It matches the Rfam family "tRNA". From Rfam's summary of the family: Transfer RNA (tRNA) molecules are approximately 80 nucleotides in length. Their secondary structure includes four short double-helical elements and three loops (D, anti-codon, and T loops). Lineage: Eukaryota; Metazoa; Chordata; Mammalia; Rodentia; Caviidae. The record is from Rfam.
GAGGAUUUAGCUCAGUGGUGUAAGCGCCUGCCUGGCAAGCAUGAGGUUUCGAGUUCAAUCCCCAGUAUCAUCA